UACGUAGGGUGCGAGCGUUAAUCGGAAUUACUGGGCGUAAAGCGCGCGCAGGUGGCGUGUUAAGUAGGGCGUGAAAUCUCCCGGCCUAACUGGGAGGGGUCGCCCUAGACUGGCAGGCUUGAGGCUGGCAGAGGUGGGUGGAAUUCCUGGUGUAGUGGUGAAAUGCGUAGAGAUCAGGAGGAACACCGGUGGCGAAGGCG
Molecule: ribosomal RNA, 200 nt
Filed under: uncultured bacterium
Lineage: Bacteria
Description: partial 16S ribosomal RNA
Rfam family: Bacterial small subunit ribosomal RNA
Source: RNAcentral